Long non-coding RNA from Parus major (Great Tit), 4041 nucleotides. RefSeq lists it as uncharacterized. NCBI's taxonomy places the organism in Eukaryota, Metazoa, Chordata, Aves, Passeriformes, Paridae. The record is from RefSeq and is a predicted model, not a curated record. The transcript is spliced from 2 exons.
UGUUGAGUGUGGGUUCACAGUGGCAAAGGCCAGCCACGUACUGGGCAGUGUUAGUGAAAAAGUGCAGCCAGCAGCCAGAAAGUAGUGGUUCUUCCCCUCUGUCAGCAGCUGUGAGACCACAUCUAAAGUUCUGUGUUUGGGUUUCAGCAAUACAUGAAAGAAAUUAUAGACUACCACAAGUCCAGGUGAUGAUCACCAGAAUGAUUAAGGGCCUAGAGCAUAUUGCUUCAUGAGGGAAAACUAGAGUGCUUCAACCUUAGAUAAGAGACAUAGGGAAGGUCAUAUUGAUUUCUCCAAGUAUGUAGUAUAUGUAUUGGGAGGAAACUGAUAAAGCAGAAAUUCCAAUUAGUUUUGAGGGGGUGUAUUUGUGGUUCUUUAUUGUUAUUAUUUUUGGGCCUUGUUUGUUUUGAACCAUGAGUCUGGUGAACAAGUGCUCAGAGAGAAUGUGAAACCUCUUGUCCUCAGAGACGUUCAAAACUCCACUUGACUGUAGAAGUAGACUCCUUAAAAUUGUUUGGACUGCUUAUUUUAUCUUUUAGAACAUAAGGAGGCAGAGUAAAGUGGUUGUUUAAUUUCAUGAAUGUGUUUCUGUGUCUUCAGGUAGAAGUUUACAGUGAGCUUAUUCUUGGAAAAACAGCACAUUUAAACCCAGUAAAAUCGGUGUAAGCAAAGUUGAUAAUUUUUUUCCUUCAGUGAAAGACUGCUCUAAUAGAGGAAAUGGGGUACUACUCACCCUUCUGCAAAAGUGUAGCUGAAAAACCUUAUCAAAUUUGGGGCUUUGUAUGAUUUUUAGGAAUAGUUUGGAUAGUUAUUGAAUGUUGAAAAAUUAUAUAAUUAUUUUUAAAUGAUCAAUCUGUACUUCUGGAAACUCAGCUAAUUUAUUCUGUAAAGCUAUAUUACAGAUCAACUAUGUCUCUACUGGAUUAAUUUUUAUUAUUAACUUUUCUUUGUAGGAAGGUAAUUUGAAUUUUUAAUUCUAGAGCUCCCACCUUGAAUUUAUUACACAAUUUCCUUCUUGUAAUAUAUUUUACUUUUCAAGUAAAUUAUCUUUUGGUCUUUUUUUGAUUCUGAAAGAAAUAAUUUUGGACUGAAGAGGGAAAUACACCUGAAAAGUACCCUUAAAACAAAACUUAAUCUUUUCCAUAGCAUUUCAGAAAAACUUACUAGGGAUGGGGGAUACAGGAAAGAAUAAAAUAUAGCAGGUUUUGUUUUUUGGGAGAUUGGUGUCUUGUUAUGAGACCACACAAGGAUUUAGACAUCCUAUUUUGGUUAGUUUUUUAAAACUUCAUUUCCUAAAAUCAUAUAAUAUGGGGAAUUUUUCCUUAAUGGCUACCCUAAACCCACUGUAUUUCAGUUUGAAGCCAUUCCCCAUGUCUUAUCACUACAUGCUCUUGUUCAAUGUCUCUUUUCAGUGCUGUUGUAGCUUCCUUUAGUUACUGGAAGGUCUUAUAAGGUUUUCCUGGAGCCUUCUCUUUUCCAGACUUAACAACCCCAGUGCCCUCAGUUUACUUUCAUAGGAGAGGUGCCCCAGCCCUCUGAUCAUCUUUGUGACAUUCCUCUGGACUCGCUGCAGCAGGUCCAUGUCCUUAUGUUGGGGACCCCAGCGCUGGACCAGCAUUCCAGCCAAGGGUACAAUUGGCAACUGCACAUUGCUGGCUCGUGUCUGAUUUCACUUAUUUUGACCACCAGAAUUGUCAAGGCCUUCUCGACAUUGCUUCUCUCAAACCACUCACCCCCAGCCUUCUGGUACAGGGAAUUGCCUGGAUCCAUGUGCAUGAAGUUGAGCCACUGAUUCAAACUCUGGACAUGGUCAUCAAGCCAAUUCCUUGUCCAUUGAAUAAUUCAUCCAGAAAACCUGUGUCUCUCUAAUGAGUGACAAAGAUGUGUAUGACUGUGUCCUAGGCCUUACAGAAAUCAAGGCUGGUGACAUAGACACACGACACAAAGUACAUGAAUGCAAUGCUCAUGCAUAACAAACAAAACCAUUUUAAUUAAUACUUCUAUGUGUCAGUGUCACAGUCUUGAAAGUACCACACAGUGAAAGUAGUUGAGCUGUUCUGUGCAGUGUGUAGUAAGGAAAUGAAAACAGCUGUUAGAAAAGUGUAAUGGUGAUGUUAAAACAAACUUAGGAUGCUUUUGUUCAGUGAUGGCAGAAUGCCUGUUUACAACCUUCAAAAACAUGGUUUUUGAAAAAAAAGAAACAAAGUAGGUUUUUUCAACUAACUUCGUUAGUUGUCAGGUUAUGAAAUUGUUGAAUUUUAAUAAAAUUCAAUGAUGCCAGGAUGUAACAGAAUAUACAGAUUGUGCCAGGUUGUGCCAUGCUGUAAGUAAGCAGGAGCAUGAUGAUCCAUCCCUGUAUUCUGAACAAUGUAAUAUACAACGGUGAUGGUGUUUGUGAAAUCAGCGGGAAUGGAUGACUUUUAACUAAGAAUUUUUAAGGAGGUAACUUAAAUCCUUAAAUACACAGAUGUUGGUUGUGUUUUGGCUUUGUAUUUUUCUUACCUCACUAAGUGUCACAAUUAUGGGGAAAAUUGCUAAAUGAAGAGUGAUGGUGCUAUGACAAUGCAAGUGGGAUAUCCUGACUAUGUCUGUUGUCCAGUCCAAUCUCUUAUCUUAGAAAAGUAUUUAUAUUAUCAGUGUUAGUUAUGAAGUUGAAAUGUAUUAAAACAGACAAAGAGUUUAAAGUAGACUAUAAGUUAUAACUAACUUGAAUGAGAAAGUUGAAUGAAGUUGCCUUAAAUGUUUUGACAAAGCUGCUUUUUACUAUAAAACUGGUCUCACACUACAUUUUUCAAACCUUAUAAAUGAUGCUUUGAUUUCUUUUGCAAAUUGUUCCUCGUAUGAGACUUUGCCGAAGUUUUUUUAUGAUUUGGUUUGGGAAAAGCAACUUGGGCAAAACAGUAAAGUUUUGAUUCUUUUGCAAGACAGAUGGAUAUCUAUAUUUUAGUUUUCUAGUAAAUUGUCAUGGUUGCAGCACCUACAACCUACAUUUUUAGGGGAUAUUUUGUUGUGGGGUUUGUUUUGUUUUGUUGUUUUGUGGUUUUUGUUGUUGUUGCUUUUUGGGUUUUUUUGUUGCCCAUUUGGUUGGUCAUGGUUUUUCUUCCCCCACCUCUAGCCUCUUUCAGGGAGGGAUGAAAGAAGCCUAAAGAGACUCUUUGAUGUGAAGACCUAUUUAAAAUAUUUUUCAGUGUUAGGAUACCAGAACUGUCUGCUCACAGAUUUGGAAAAAAUGAUGGCAUUCCUUAGGUGAUGUGAUUCAAGUGUCCAGAGAAGUAAAAGCUUUUGGGGUGGGGUCACCCGAAGAAGCUCAACUGCUCAAAAAUUGUCUGCUCACUAGUGCAGUUAUAAGGAAAGACAUGCUAGGUCUCUCUAAACCCUCCUUUUAAAAAAUGUUUAUAAUUCUCUGGUGGCAGUUUUGUUGCCAAUCUUUCACAGGAAGUGCUUGGAAGGAGACCUUGUUUAAACUGGCAGAGAGAACAUGAGAAGAAAUGCCAUUUUUUCUUUGCUGAUACUCUGCAGGUUUAAUGAAACUCUUUGCUGCUGAUUUAAACCCUUCAGUUCACUUCCUGCCCUUCCCUGUCUCCCCGUUUCAUUUGAAGUGCUCCAUAUGCUUCCUUACUUGCUUUUUUCCACCAUGGCUAGGACAGGUUUUUCAAAUUUUUUUUCUGUGGUUAAAACAGCUGUAAUGGUGUUGCUUUGCUUCAGCAAAGCCUGCUCUAUUUGCUGAACUCAUGUGUAGUUUAGUACAGCUUCCUGUUUUUCUCAUCCUAUUUAAUUAGGCAACAAGUUGCAGCAAAGCAGCUUCCUUUAGAAUGAAUCAGUGAACGCUGUGCAUAUUGUAAAUAUGAAAGCAAUUCAUGUCUCUUUGAAACUUACAAAAUCAUGGGUAUUUUUCCAUAGCUUUAAUGUUUGUGUGGAAGGCCAAACCUGGUUGCAUAGAAAGCAUUUUUCUCCCUUUCUGUGUAUUCCUUUUCAAUUUGAUUUGAUUUACUUUUUGUUCUCUGUUGCUGCCUUUUGAUGGUAACAAUAAAGAACUAUCCU